AUGGGCGUGAUUGACAGGCUAAUGACUUUUCUCGAUUCCAUGGAUGGUGGUGCAUGGUCGCACUUAGUUGGUGCAGUGAUUUGUCAGGUUUAUUCCGGUAACGAACGAGACCUCGGCCUUGUAAAUAGCUAUGCUGCUUACAGGGACAUUGGCGGCUACGCCAAGGAAGCUCGAGGCAAUUGCAGAUCUGGAAUGCCCUUAGAUGUCCUGGGUCGCACGCGUGCUACAAUGACGCCACGAACGAGCUUGCGUGAUGAAAGUUACGCAUAAUCAGCAGUCGGCGUCUUAAGGGAUAGUCUCUUGUAACUGUGGGACUCCAACUAGGAAUGUCUCGUAAGCACAAGUCAACAUCUUGUGUUGAUUACGUCCCUGCUCUUUGUACACACCGCCCGUCGCUCCUACCGAUCGAGUGUGUUUUGAAUUUGAUGGACGUAAGGAAGUCAAAAAACCUAGACAGAGAAGAAAUCACAGGGGAAAAGAAUCGAAAAAAAAAAAGCCCG
This 500-nucleotide ribosomal RNA is filed under the name uncultured Myrionecta. Its description in RNAcentral is "bacterial SSU rRNA". It matches the Rfam family "Eukaryotic small subunit ribosomal RNA", at positions 1230 to 1771 of the family's 1831-position model. Lineage: Eukaryota; Ciliophora; Litostomatea; Cyclotrichida; Mesodiniidae. The record is from RNAcentral.